ACUCCUACGGGAGGCAGCAGUGGGGAAUAUUGGACAAUGGGGGAAACCCUGAUGCAGCCAUGCCGCGUGUGUGAAGAAGGCCUUCGGGUUGUAAAGCACUUUCAGCGAGGAGGAAAGGUUGAUGCCUAAUACGUAUCAGCUGUGACGUUACUCGCAGAAGAAGCACCGGCUAACUCCGUGCCAGCAGCCGCGGUAAUACA
RNAcentral lists this ribosomal RNA (200 nucleotides) under uncultured bacterium. RNAcentral's name for it is "partial 16S ribosomal RNA". It matches the Rfam family "Bacterial small subunit ribosomal RNA", at positions 335 to 527 of the family's 1533-position model. The record is from RNAcentral.